GACGAACGCUGGCGGCGUGCUUAACACAUGCAAGUCGAACGGAAAGGCCCUGCUUGCAGGGUACUCGAGUGGCGAACGGGUGAGUAACACGUGGGUGAUCUGCCCUGCACUUCGGGAUAAGCUUGGGAAACUGGGUCUAAUACCGGAUAGGAGCCAUCUUUAGUGUGGUGGUUGGAAAGUUUUUUCGGUGUAGGAUGAGCUCGCGGCCUAUCAGCUUGUUGGUGGGGUAAUGGCCUACCAAGGCGGCGACGGGUAGCCGGCCUGAGAGGGUGUACGGCCACACUGGGACUGAGAUAGGGGCCAGACUCCGACGGGAGGCAGCAGUGGGGAAUGUUGCACAAUGGGCGCAAGCCUGAGGCAGCGAGGCCGCGUGAGCGAUGAAGGCCUUCGGGUUGUAAGCACCUAUCGCUAGGGACGUGUCUUUUUUGUGACGGUACCUAGAUAAGAAGCACCGGCUAACUACGUG
Molecule: ribosomal RNA, 466 nt
Filed under: uncultured bacterium
Lineage: Bacteria
Description: partial 16S ribosomal RNA
Rfam family: Bacterial small subunit ribosomal RNA
Source: RNAcentral